This 505-nucleotide ribosomal RNA is filed under the name Salmonella enterica subsp. enterica serovar Poona. Its description in RNAcentral is "bacterial SSU rRNA". It matches the Rfam family "Bacterial small subunit ribosomal RNA", at positions 1010 to 1515 of the family's 1533-position model. The record is from RNAcentral. Lineage: Bacteria; Pseudomonadati; Pseudomonadota; Gammaproteobacteria; Enterobacterales; Enterobacteriaceae.
AUUGGUGCCUUCGGGAACUGUGAGACAGGUGCUGCAUGGCUGUCGUCAGCUCGUGUUGUGAAAUGUUGGGUUAAGUCCCGCAACGAGCGCAACCCUUAUCCUUUGUUGCCAGCGGUCCGGCCGGGAACUCAAAGGAGACUGCCAGUGAUAAACUGGAGGAAGGUGGGGAUGACGUCAAGUCAUCAUGGCCCUUACGACCAGGGCUACACACGUGCUACAAUGGCGCAUACAAAGAGAAGCGACCUCGCGAGAGCAAGCGGACCUCAUAAAGUGCGUCGUAGUCCGGAUUGGAGUCUGCAACUCGACUCCAUGAAGUCGGAAUCGCUAGUAAUCGUGGAUCAGAAUGCCACGGUGAAUACGUUCCCGGGCCUUGUACACACCGCCCGUCACACCAUGGGAGUGGGUUGCAAAAGAAGUAGGUAGCUUAACCUUCGGGAGGGCGCUUACCACUUUGUGAUUCAUGACUGGGGUGAAGUCGUAACAAGGUAACCGUAGGGGAACCUGC